UGUAAAUUUUGUCAUUUGAAACUUGCAAACUGACAUCUCUACUUGCCAUCUAUAGCUGGUUGGAAUGUAAUUGGGGAUUUCCAUCUCUAGCCAUAGGGCUAUAUUGGAUUGGUUGGGCACUUAAUUUGCUUUUCUUUAUUAAAUUGGUGAUUUUGUUAUUUUAGUUUUUUGAACUGGUGGUAUAAUAAUCUUUGCAGGUUUAGGAGAUUCUGAAUAGUUUUCAUGGAUAUCAGUUGACACAUACUGGUCUACAUCGUUUCAUGGACAUUAAAGAAGUAAUACCUAACAAUUCGAAGCUUGUAGUUUGAAAUUUUUUAACAGAAAAUUAAUCUAAAGAAACUCACGGAAGCUGAUGGGGUGGCUGCAUUAUUUCAUUGGAUGGAGGUGUACCUUAGAUCCUGCAUCAUAUUUUAAAGCUAGUCAGUUAUAUGAAUUUGGUUUAUAAUGAGGGGCAGUCAUCUCUAUCCUGUAGCCAUUUAAAUUCAAUGUUGUAGCAUUAGUUGAUUUCCCUUGAGCUCCCUGUUUGUUCACUGUAAAUGAGAUUUUGAGGUGAUAUUUGUGGUCGCAGAUUGUGGAGGCAAAGAUAAUGGUAUGGAGAGGAGAAAGACAACCAAAUGGUUAAGUCUCUACUUUACUAGAUUACAGGUCGUUGAUAGCGUCAAAGAAGAAAUAGUUUAAAAUUGGAAUCAUGUUGGUUGUUGUAUUUUGCAUGAAUAGUCUUUUUAAUAUCCGCACCUAACUGAAUGGUUUGUCGCCUUAGAGAGAAUCAUUGUUGCAGUAUUGAUAUAACCUUCUAGAGAAGGUUUAAUCGAAGAGAAGACUUAUGAGGUUGAUAACGAUUAAUGCUUUAGUUCCGAGAAUGUUCAUUAUGAAAAACAUCACAAGACAAGAAUGAUGAAGACAAACUGUAACAACGUUCAUUAUAAGUAGAUCUCCCUUAUUGGGAGGCUUGAAAGCCAUGAGAGAAUCAACGUUCACAGUGGUGGCUAUUUGAAGUAAUCCUGAGAACGAGAGCCAGUCUAUUGGAAGCAGCGCGAAUGUUGGUGAGUUAGCUGGUUGGAUGGCAAAUUGCAUCUGCAUCUUCAUUUGUUCAAGCAACUGUCAUUGCCAUGUCGUUCAUACCACUUCCAAAAAAUCAAGUUCCAGUCUUGAAACAACUAAGACACCACCAACAACCUCGGGUAUGGUUAACUAUCAGCAUCCUGAUCGUGAACACCAAUGAAACUCCUGCGAUCUGGCCAGUCUGUCGAGGAUGUAAUUACCUAUUGGUAUUUUUGCACUAAUAAUUUAGAAUUUCUUACCAUUGUUUUUUGUUGAUAUAUGUCUUUGAACUAUUUUAAAUUCUGCAUCUUUUUUUUGGUUUGGGGAUGGGGCGUAUUAAAGUUCAGAUGUUUUUCUUCUCGACAGUAUGCAUCUUGGUUUUUGGAUAACCUGCUGGGUGAUUCAUGCAUCAAGAUUCAGCUAUCACAAACUUAUAUUCUCAUCCUUCUCGCCAAACAUUGAUUUUGAUUAUAUAUGAUUGUUCUAUUGGACUUCGAUUCUUUUAGCCUUUCCUCUUUAUUAAAUUUAAUACGAGUAUUUGACAGUUUAUUACUUACAAGCUAGUAGGACAAUCUAUAAUGAUUUUAUCAUUGAAAAAUGUGUAUACACAGUACUUGCAUGGUUUUUUUUUUCUAAUAGUUUCUGCUAACAUUAAUCGAUUUUCAUUUUGUUUGUACCAUUAAGAUCUCUGGUAUAAAGCCGUGGCAGUUUAAUGAUAUCUGGUAGCUGGUUUCUUUUGUUAAAAGAGCAUUGCUUGCUCCUCUUGGAGAAGGGAAAAAAUGGCCAUGCUGGGUGUUAGAAAUUUUAGGCCUAAAUAAGACUUUCCCUUGUUUUGGACAUUCCCCUGUUUUUAUUGAUGAGACACAUGAAAAGAAAAAAAGCAUUUUCAAGUCUCAAAUUCAUUAUAAUUUUAUUUAUUAAAAUUGAUAUAAAUGUAGUGUAUGCUUUUUGCCCAUGUAUUUGUUUUGGGAGUUUUCUGUGUUUUUAGGGUUUUUGGCGCUUUAAGAGACUUGUUUAUGCUUCAAAUAAUUUUUUAAAUCAAGAACAGAUAGGGAGCUUGAAUAUUACUCCUUUGUGUCUUGAAAUAAAAAAAUCUGAACUAAAGCAGACACGAGUGGAGAAAAAUACUAAUAGAUAGAGAAUGGGGUUCUAAGCCAGGUAGCGGAGGCCUCGUCUGCACCGAACGAGGCAAUCGACAAGGAGGAGCAUCUCUGGCAACUUGCCCUUAAGACGAUAGAGAGCACUCAAGAUUCAUAUUUCAUGCGAAACCACCUGGGCAGUUAUGAUUUAUGAAUGAAUGUAAGAUAUAUCUGACAUUGCACAACAAUGAAAAAAUUUAUCUGGCGCGCAUGCAAAGGAAGCAUCACAAAACCAAUUGGGCUAAGAGGGCAGUAUGAGGCCGUAUGAAGCUAAGAGGGGAAGUAUAAGCGCAAAGUUAACAUUUGCCAGACUGGAGUCGUCUAUUUUUGACAAAUGUAAAAGUUAUGGUUACAGAAGAUAUAUAUGUUCUAUUUGAUACAUGUGAAAGGGCUUGCAGAGUAUUUCAAAUCAAGCUUGAAAUCUGAAGUAGAACUACUCUUCGUGGACCUAGAACAAGAUCCUCCAAAGACUGUAACACAAGCGGAACAAAGCUUGCUAGCAACAGAACUCAUAGGAGCGCAGAAGUUAUUCUCCUUGUCUUUUCCUGCCAAUGAUAUGAACAAUGAUGUGCCGUCAUGCCAGUUGAAGGAUAGUGUGCCUAAUGCUGCAGAGAGCACGGCUUAUGCUGGAUCGUCUGUUCAUAAGCUUAUAACCUAUCAGUCUUCUGAUUUUAUCGAUCUUAGUAUCCGCAUGAAGGAUACUAAUGUCACAGUGCCGAUUUUAAAUGGGUAACUUCUAAAUUUAAGAGAAGGUCCGGAUCUGCUUGGACUAGUUUAUGCAGAGGGUGAUAUACGAUAUGAAGUUUAAUUUUCAUUGCCGAGUUGAUUCCUGAUAAGAGUGUUAUCUUUUCUCUGUGGUAGUUAAAUCACUGCUACAAUUGCUUGUUUGAUACCAACUGAAUGGUUUUUUAAAAUUACUAAUUUGGAAAAGCUUAUCAUACUCUGUCCUGUGACAUGCAAAAGAUGGCCUUUUUUCGUCCUUAAAAAUCAAAUUCAUGUGUAAUCUGUGAUAUAUUCUUAUAUUGAUAAAUUUAUUUAAAAUUUUCAA
Molecule: RNA transcript, 3228 nt
Organism: Mercurialis annua (annual mercury)
Lineage: Eukaryota; Viridiplantae; Streptophyta; Magnoliopsida; Malpighiales; Euphorbiaceae
Exons: 6
Source: RefSeq, a predicted model, not a curated record